RNAcentral lists this long non-coding RNA (874 nucleotides) under Brassica napus (rape). RNAcentral describes it as "long non-coding RNA (BNAP_LNC015877)". Lineage: Eukaryota; Viridiplantae; Streptophyta; Magnoliopsida; Brassicales; Brassicaceae. The record is from RNAcentral.
GCAAUGACGAAAGCAGUGAUGUAAGCAAUGAUGCAAGCAGUGACGUAAGCAAUGACGCAAGCAGUGGCGUAAGCAAUGACGCACUAACGAUGUCGGCACCAUUAGAUGGAAGACACGUGUACUCAACCAAUGAAUCAACGCCACAACUAUCAAGCCUCUUCGCCUAUAAAUACAGAAGCUAUCGAAACGAAGGAGGCAUCAGAAGUUCUCUGAAGCCCUCUCGCUCUAAAAAGUUCUCACUCUAAAAAUCUCUGCUCUCACCCCCUUUGUAAUACUCUCUACUUAUUGUAAGUUUCCAAAAAAUUUGUAAUCAAAAUCUCGAUAUUAAUAAACAAAAAGUUUAUUCAGUUUACGCUUUCAAAAUACAAAUUUCAGCGAAUCUAGUCCUUAGAUUCUAGCAGCCCGAAUCCAAGAAACUCUGACUAACCGUUAAUACCCUAAAAAGUUAAUACGGUUUGACAGUAGUAUCGGGGAAAACUUUAUUAUUAUAUAAUAUCUUUUAUAAAAACUGUACUUAUUCGUACCCUAAAAUAAUAAAUAGAGUAUAUCUAGUUAUAUAAAAUAAAAUAAAUACACAAGAAGCUCUAGAAGCAGUGACGUAAGCAAUGACGAAAGCAGUGACGCAAGCAAUGAUGCAAGCAGUGUUAUAAGCAAUGACGCAAGCAGUGACGUAAGCAAUGACGCAAUAACGAUGUCGGCACCAUUAGAUGGAAGACACGUGUACUCAACAAAUGAAUCAACGCCACAACUAUCAAGCCUAUUCGCCUAUAAAUACACAAGCUAUCAAAACGAAGGAGGCAUCAGAAGUUCUCGAAGCCCUCUCGCUCUAAAAAAUUCUCACUCUAAAAAUCUCUGCUCUCACCCCCUUUGUAAU